UGUGUAUUGAAGGCUCUGUAUAUCUUCAUAGUGUGGAGCCAUCACAUCUGCUCUUGGGGUGUCACACCAGAGUUCUAGAUGGACCCAGAAUUGCAGAGAGACAAGGUCAGGGGAAGGAGCCGGGAAAGAGGUUAACAAGACCACAGAUGCUGCAGAUGGGACUCACACGAAGAUGUCCUUCCCACCAGCCAGGCCAUCGCUGGCUUUGUAAGACGCAGCCAACUGCCACCAGGUGGCAGAACAAGAUGAGAAAACCGUGCCCCACGGAGUCCCUGAGCCCCUGCUGCUGCAGUUUUUGAGGACAUUUGGGUAGCAGGGAGGUCUCUUCUUCUCUGCACUGCAUGCACCCAGGAAAGGCCAUGUGACGUCUUAGCAAGAAGGAGGCAAACCAUGAGGAGAGCCUUCAGCAGAAACCAAAUCGGCCAGCACCUUGAUCUUGGACUUCCCAGCUGGCAGAACUGUGAGAAAAUAAAU
Molecule: long non-coding RNA, 474 nt
Filed under: Homo sapiens (human)
Lineage: Eukaryota; Metazoa; Chordata; Mammalia; Primates; Hominidae
Description: HSALNT0283612
Source: RNAcentral